UGGGUCUUGACACACACCAUGCUGACUAUUAUGGUACAUUCCAUUGUAUGUACUCAUGUAUAAGUCUAGACCAGUGUUUCUCAAAUUGUGCUCCUCCGGGUGUUUUGGACUUCAGCUUCCAGAAAUCUCAACCAGCUUGCCAGGAAUUCUGGGAGCUGGAGUCCAAAAUAUCUGGAGGAGCACAGUUUGAGAAACAUUGGUCUAGACAUUUUAGCUUUAAAAAAUCAACCCCCCAAAAUCUGGGUUGACAUAUCCACAGGUCAAUGUAAGUAGUACUGUUGUUAUGAUUGAGCCUUAUGGCUCUGUUACUGACAGACGUGGGCGUAAGACUCCUCGGGAGUCAGAUACUCUCGAGGAGCGAGAAAGAAAAAGACUGCGAGACAUUUUUGCAGCACCAUCUGACGAAGAGUCUUUUGAGGGGUUUACGGAGAGAAUGGAGGAGGGGCUGGUUAGCUCGGAGGAGGAUGAGAUGGAUUGGACUCGGGUAAGGGAGGAAUUGGGUGCCACUGGUCAUGAUGGGAUAGAAGAUGAAUGGGGACUUUCAGGAUUAGACCCAUGGCUUAGCUGGAGGGAUGGGACGGGAUCCACAGCUGGAGAUGCUGUGGGGCGUAGUCAGAGGUGUUCCAGCUCUGAUGAGGAAAGUGAUGAGGAAACGCCCGGGUUAAGGAGGACAGCUGACAGUGAUGAGGAUUUGUAACUGGCAUAAAAUGGGGCUUGGGAGCAAUUGCAAAUUGCGUUGGGCAAGGUAAUCUGGACAAACGCUUGGGAUCUGUGUGGGACGCUUUCCUGAAGACUGGUGUGUUUUCCUGUGCUGAGACCUUGACCUUCCGUCGUCUUCUUGACGGACGCCAUCUCCUGCUUUGAAAACUCGGAUUGAACUGACCACGGCUUGUCUUCCCCCUUCUGGACUUGGAAACUACAACGUCUACUUCUGGCUUUGAACCACGGAAAGGAACUGGGUCUACUCUUCUGCUACAAUCCUUGGCUGAUCUGUUCGUGUUGGAAAUCCUGUCUGCUGUGUGUGUGGGAGCGACGCAAGUUCCUCUAAGCACCGUGUUGGCAGCAGAGAGGAAUCUGCUGCCAAUUAGUUGCAUUCUUUUGUUCCUUGGCUUUUGUUUUGUUUACCCUCAGGCUGAAGCAAGCAGUUUGUUUUUACCCGGAUUAAACUUCGGUUUAAUCCGGUUUAUCUUUUGUACGUUUUUCCCUUGUCCCUUUUUUGCUCCUAAAGGCUAAAAUUGCCUGGCCCUUGUGUUUUUACGGGCAUUUUUGAGUUCUGUAAUUAAAUAAACUCUGUUAUUUUGAA
Molecule: long non-coding RNA, 1303 nt
Organism: Anolis carolinensis (green anole)
Lineage: Eukaryota; Metazoa; Chordata; Lepidosauria; Squamata; Anolidae
Exons: 2
Source: RefSeq, a predicted model, not a curated record